RNAcentral lists this ribosomal RNA (725 nucleotides) under uncultured Bacteroidales bacterium. RNAcentral's name for it is "bacterial SSU rRNA". It matches the Rfam family "Bacterial small subunit ribosomal RNA", at positions 41 to 754 of the family's 1533-position model. The record is from RNAcentral. Lineage: Bacteria; Pseudomonadati; Bacteroidota; Bacteroidia; Bacteroidales.
UACAGGCUUAACACAUGCAAGUCGAGGCGGCAGCAUGGUCUUAGCUUGCUAAGGCCGAUGGCGACCGGCGCACGGGUGAGUAACACGUAUCCAACCUGCCGUCUACUCUUGGACAGCCUUCUGAAAGGAAGAUUAAUACAAGAUGGCAUCAUGAGUCCGCAUGUUCACAUGAUUAAAGGUAUUCCGGUAGACGAUGGGGAUGCGUUCCAUUAGAUAGUAGGCGGGGUAACGGCCCACCUAGUCUUCGAUGGAUAGGGGUUCUGAGAGGAAGGUCCCCCACAUUGGAACUGAGACACGGUCCAAACUCCUACGGGAGGCAGCAGUGAGGAAUAUUGGUCAAUGGGCGAGAGCCUGAACCAGCCAAGUAGCGUGAAGGAUGACUGCCCUAUGGGUUGUAAACUUCUUUUAUAAAGGAAUAAAGUCGGGUAUGGAUACCCGUUUGCAUGUACUUUAUGAAUAAGGAUCGGCUAACUCCGUGCCAGCAGCCGCGGUAAUACGGAGGAUCCGAGCGUUAUCCGGAUUUAUUGGGUUUAAAGGGAGCGUAGAUGGAUGUUUAAGUCAGUUGUGAAAGUUUGCGGCUCAACCGUAAAAUUGCAGUUGAUACUGGAUAUCUUGAGUGCAGUUGAGGCAGGCGGAAUUCGUGGUGUAGCGGUGAAAUGCUUAGAUAUCACGAAGAACUCCGAUUGCGAAGGCAGCCUGCUAAGCUGCAACUGACAUUGAGGCUC